GGUGCUGAUAGCAAAGAGGUUCCACCUGUUCCCAUUCCGAACACAGAAGUUAAGCUCUUUAACGUCAAAAAUACUUGGCUGGCGACGGCCCGGGAAGAUAGAU
Molecule: ribosomal RNA, 103 nt
Filed under: pig gut metagenome
Source: RNAcentral